GUAAUUUAGCUAAAAAAUCAGGGUAUAAUUCAUUGUGACCUUGUUUAACAGUAGGAGCUUGGCCUGGGGUGCGUAAUUUAUCCCAAGCUCUCAUACACACCUUUGUUACUUGUUCCGUGGUAACAGCAUCAAAGCCUAAUUGGGCAUAAAUAUCAGAGAAGUCAUCGGAGCCUGUGAGCUGAGCCUGAGUAAUUAGAAUGCCAUCAGCCCGAUUUAGCUGAGCCUGCAGACGGGCCUCCUCUGACCACCAGGAGAAUUAUUUGCAAAGAAAAUGAAGAUUCCAUAAUCCUCUGAAUGAAAUACUGUAUCUGCUAUACUGUUAGCCUAUUUCAGAAUGGGAGUUCAACUAAGAAGAGAGACACCGAUUGACUGACUACAUUUAUGAGAAAGGGUUGAACACAUUCAUGCACUGUUUUUUAAGUUUUACUGAGAAAUAAUUGGUAUACGAAAAACUGUUCGCAUAUUUACUGUGUAUGAUUUGGUAAGUUUGGACAUGUGCAAAUACCUGUGAAAUCAUCACCACAAUCAAGAUGGAGUCUCGCUGUGUUGCCCAGGCUGUAGUGUCAUGGCACAAUCUCGGCUCACUGCAACCUCUGCCUCCUGGGUUCAAGCGAUUCUCCUGCCUCAGCCUCCCAAGUAGCUGGGACUACAGGUGUGUGCCACCACGCCGGGCUAAUUUUUUGUGUUUUUAGUACAGACGGGGUUUCACCGUGUUAGCCACAAUGGUCUUGAUCUCCUGACCUCAUGAUCUGCCUGCCUCGGCCUCCCAAAGUGCUGGGAUUACAGGUGUGAGCUACCACGCCCGGCCACUUUUUUGUAUCUUAGUUUCUUCAUUCACUAAAUAGAGAUAGUAAUUAUACUUCAAGGGUUUUCUGUGUGAACUAAAUGAGCGAAUACCUGAGAAGCAUGUAUAAUAAUUGAGUAACAACACAAUAGGUGCUAAGUAUUCAUCAUUUUUCUUCUAUUUAACCCCCACCCUUUUUAUUGUAAAUUGACAAUUUACAGUUAUAUAAAUGUAUGAGGUACAAAGAGAUGUUAUAAUUUUAAGUACAAUGUGGAAUAUUUAAAUCAAGCUAGUUAACAUAUCCAUCACUUCAAAUUCUUAAGAUUUUUUGCAGUGAGAACAUUUGAAAUUAACUCACUUACUAAUUUUGAAAUGUAAUAUUCUAUAAUUAACUAUAUUCACCAUGCUGUGCAAUAGAACUCUAAAAAGAAAAAAAAGCAUAUUCCUUCUGAGAUCUUAUAUCCUUCAUCUCCACCCUACUUACAGAUAUUUAUUGUAAGAUUUCCUCUGCUGUCCAUUCUGCACCAAGGUGACUAAUUAGCACCUUUAAUGCUCACAUAGGACCUCUUCCCUAUUAAAACCAAUACUGAGCCUCCUAACGAGGUACUGAGGUGUGUCAGAUUAGUGCUAUGUACUUAAUAGUCAUCUGUGUGCUGCAACUGUGUUGUCUGUAGAUGUGAGGAGAAUGCUUUCCUGCCCACGUUUUCUGUAAUACUUUGUCACAUACUCAAAGGCAAAGCUGCCUUUCUUCCUAGAUACACAAUCUUCAGUGAAGUUAGCUCUCUGAGUAUUUUGCAAAGCUCCCAAGUUUAAAAAUCUAAGAAAUACUAACACAUGCAAAUUUAAUGCAAAAAAUAAAGUGAGUCAUUUUCUCCCUCUUAUAAAAACCAAGAUAAAUACAGUUAUUACCAUGAAAAGAAAUGUAGAAUUGCUUUCUUUUAUUAUGCCUCAACUUAAAGGGCCACAUGCCUUAUUUGAAAAGCUGAGUUUUUAUUUCAUGAUGAGAUAUGUUUUUAUAUCACUUUUCAGGUAAAAUAUUCCUUAGAGCAAAAAGGGCAUUUUUAGGGCUAAUAGGUUCUGCUCUCAUUAACACUAAAAGUUAUGAAUGCUUUUAGAUUUUUACCUAGGGGAAAACAUAGCAAAUGCAAACUGUCAACUCAUAUAUAUACAUCUGAAAAUCUCAAUCAAGCACUGUGAAGCCUUGUCAGGAAAAAUACUUAUCCUCUUGAUUUAAAGAGUGUAACUUUUGUCCCUAGUGAAAAAGAAACUUUUAAUUAUUAAAAGCUUAUACUGGUCCAUAGUUGACAUCUAAUUUAUUUUAUCACAUCAAAUAUGUUGUAAGAUAUAAGAAAUAUUUUAGAAUGUUCAGAAUUAUUUCACAGGUGUUUAGGAUAACUGAGUACUGCUCUUAGUAUUUUUGAAUUACAAACAUCUCAAUUACUAGAAGUCUAAUCAAUGUCCAUCAAUACCAAAUGAAGAGAAUUUGUGGGACAGUGCAAAGUGUUCUUAAUUGGCUUUGCGGAUGCUUGAAUUUAUUUCCUGGUGCUCCAAUAGAAGUUGUGACAUUGGUGAAUCCAUUUAGCUUCUUCUCUUUCUAGUUUCCAUGUCUAACAAUUAUAGACUUUGGCUAAAUAUGCUCUGUAGUCCACCUUAGAGGCAAACUAUUCAGAGUUUUUUUCUUUCCCUGCCAAAUUUCUGUGCAUUUGAGUACUCAAUAAAGAGAAGAAUUUUAUAAAAUGCAGCUGAGUAAUAGAAGACAUGGUCCACCUCACAAGGAAUCAAAUAAUGCAAAUCACUAUGUGUUUAAUGAUUUAUAGAUUUUAGCAUUUCCACUGACAAUUAGCAAAGAAGAAAAAGGCUAAUUAUAACUAGUAUAGGCAUGGACAUAGGAAAAUGGGCACUUUCUAAAACUGCUGAAACAAGUAUACAUAUUAGUAAAGUAUUUAUAGAUAGUAAUUUUCCAAAAUGAAUAAAAAGCAAUAAAAAAUCUUUUAAUCUAAUAAUCUAGAUUCUCAGAAUUUACGCUGAGAUGAUAGGUACAUUUACAAAGGUAAUUUACAUUUAUACUUAAGAAUAUUUAGCAUAAAAUUCUUUAUUAUAGCCAAAGGAAAAUACGAAAUAUGAAAACAUAAAUGAAGAAUAGGAGAUUAGUUACAUGAAUGUUGAUGGGUCUCUGUACAGUUAGGGCAUGCAUGGGCUUUAUGAGUCAAAGAGCCUGAUUCAUUUCAUGACUCUGAAGCUUUCUAGUAUUAUUUUCUUGUAUAAAUUGCUUAAGCACUCUAACUCUGUUUCUGACCCUUUAAAGUGGAAUUAACAAUGGUAUCUUUAUCAGAAUGCUGUCAUUAGAAUUAAAGAAGAUAUGAUUUGUACCGGCCCUUGCACUACUAACUGUCAAUUUUAGUAUAAAUCCACAUAAUAGGCACUCUAGGAAUCUGUUAAUAGUGAUCAUGCAAAGCUAUGUCAAUUCACAUCAGAGGUCAUUCUUAACUACUUGCUAAGUUUAAAAAAAUAAACAGUUGCAUGGCAGCAAUGUAAUACACAAAGUACAUUUUGAUUUUAAAUACAGUGAAAGAGAAUAAAAAGCCUGCAUAUAAAUAUUUAAUUUUUAUUUUCUAUUUUUUAUAUGAUAUUCACAGAUAAU
Molecule: long non-coding RNA, 3425 nt
Filed under: Homo sapiens (human)
Lineage: Eukaryota; Metazoa; Chordata; Mammalia; Primates; Hominidae
Description: HSALNT0034512
Source: RNAcentral